This 253-nucleotide ribosomal RNA is filed under the name uncultured bacterium. Its description in RNAcentral is "partial 16S ribosomal RNA". It matches the Rfam family "Bacterial small subunit ribosomal RNA", at positions 524 to 776 of the family's 1533-position model. The record is from RNAcentral.
UACGUAGGGUGCAAGCGUUAAUCGGAAUUACUGGGCGUAAAGCGUGCGCAGGCGGUUUUGUAAGCCAGAUGUGAAAUCCCCGGGCUUAACCUGGGAAUGGCAUUUGGGACUGCAAGGCUGGAGUGCGGCAGAGGAGACUGGAAUUCCCGGUGUAGCAGUGAAAUGCGUAGAUAUCGGGAGGAAUACCGAUGGCGAAGGCAGGUCUCUGGGCUGACACUGACGCUCAUGCACGAAAGCGUGGGGAGCAAACAGG